GCGAGGUGAAGCAAAUCUCGAAAAGACGUCUCAGUUCGGAUCGCAGGCUGCAACUCGCCUGCGUGAAGUCGGAAUUGCUAGUAAUCGCAGAUCAGCAUGCUGCGGUGAAUACGUUCCCGGGCCUUGUACACACCGCCCGUCACACCAUGGGAGUCGGUAACACCCGAAGCCUAUAGUCUGACCUUUUGGAGGACGCAGUCGAAGGUGGGAUCGAUGACUGGGGUGAAGUCGUAACAAGGUAUC
RNAcentral lists this ribosomal RNA (243 nucleotides) under uncultured bacterium. RNAcentral's name for it is "partial 16S ribosomal RNA". It matches the Rfam family "Bacterial small subunit ribosomal RNA", at positions 1257 to 1500 of the family's 1533-position model. The record is from RNAcentral.